CGGAAUGGCUAAUACCGCAUAAGCUGGUGACGAUGGGAAUGGUUAUCAGGAAAGCUUUAGUGCUUUGAGAGGGGCCUACGGCCGAUUAGCUAGUUGGUGAGGUAAAGGCUCACCAAGGCGAUGAUCGGUAGCUGGUCUGAGAGGACGAUCAGCCACACGGGAACUGAGACACGGUCCCGACUCCUACGGGGGGCAGCAGUGAGGAAUAUUCGGCAAUGGGGGCAACCCUGACCGAGCAACGCCGCGUGGAGGAUGACGGUUUUCGGAUUGUAAACUCCUUUUCUCAGGGAAGAGUGAGGACGGUACCUGAGGAAUAAGUCACGGCUAACUACGUGCCAGCAGCCGCGGUAAUACGUAGGUGGCAAGCGUUAUCCGGAAUUACUGGGCGUAAAGCGCACGCAGGUGGCUGCUUAAGUCUGACGUGAAAGCUCCUGGCUUAACUGGGAGAGGUCGUUGGAGACUGGGCGGCUUGAGGCGAGGAGAGGGGUGUAGAAUUCCCCGGUGUAGUGGUGGAAUGCGUAGAGAUCGGGAG
RNAcentral lists this ribosomal RNA (532 nucleotides) under uncultured bacterium. RNAcentral describes it as "bacterial SSU rRNA". It matches the Rfam family "Bacterial small subunit ribosomal RNA", at positions 155 to 703 of the family's 1533-position model. The record is from RNAcentral.